RNA transcript from Hevea brasiliensis (rubber tree), 3157 nucleotides. It is a transcript of the gene named disease resistance protein RPV1-like, with no coding region annotated. The transcript has 2 exons. Lineage: Eukaryota; Viridiplantae; Streptophyta; Magnoliopsida; Malpighiales; Euphorbiaceae. The record is from RefSeq and is a predicted model, not a curated record.
UACCAAAAGUGAGUCUACCAUUAACUUACUAGCAUUUGUUCUUCAUAUGUAUCAAGUCUGAAUCCAAACUAGUUGCGAAAAUAGUUAAUGAUGUUUGAAAGAAAUUAGGUUGCUUCUCUUCAAGUGAUUCUCCCAUUGACAACUUAGUUGGACUUGAGUCACCUGUAAUGAAAGCGGAAUCCUUAUUAAGUAUUGAAUCAACGGAUAAUAAAAGAGUCAUAGGAAUUUGGGGUAUGGUAGGUAUUGACAGGACAACUAUUACUAAUGAAGUAUACAGUCAAAAACUCAUACAAAUUUGAUAGUUAAUGUUUUGUUGAUAAUGUCAAAGAGCAUAUGAGAAAACAAACAUCAAUUGCUUUAUGAGAUAAAAUCAUUGAGCAAUUUUUAGGGCAAAAAAAUUUACCUAUAAACACACCUCAGUUACCUGCUUUCAUUAAGAGAAAACAUCGUAGUAAAAAGGUCGUCAAUGUUGUUGACGAUGUGGAUGAUCCAAACCAUUUAAAGCUUUUAGCAAGAGAUCAUGAUUUGUAUCAUAAUAAAAGUAGAAUUAUUAUAACUAGCAGAGAAAGAUAUUUGCUUAAAAAUGUUUGCGAUGAGGAUUAUAUAUAUGGGGUUGAAAAAUUAAUUUAUGAUGAAGCUCUUUCUCUUUAGCUUGUAUGCUUUCAAACAAAAUCAUCCCAAGAAUCAAUUUGACCUGUUCCUGGUGCUAGUCGUUCCUUCAGUUUAUUUUCCUUCACAGAAAGUGCAUGUAGUGUUUCCAGUUAUCUUCAUUUUCUUUCUUUGUUUAAUUUGCAUCAUUUCUACUCUGUCUCAUAAUUGUUUAUUGAAUUAUUAAUCUAUAGUGUUUUUGCUCUCUUUAGCAAUUCUUGAAAGUAAUCAAAAUGGAUGUAUGAGAAUAUGGGAAAAAAAAUUUAGAAGUUUUGGGUAGAAUAUUUAAUUUGAAAUUGGACCUAUAAAUGGGAUUAUAAGUUUUGAGAUUGAAAAUUUAAUUUUUAAAGAGUUCAAGGAGUAAAGUGAAAUUUUUUUUAAAAUGACUUGCUUGCUGCUUUUUCUUCCGCAAAAUAAGGGAACGUGAAAAAUAAAAAAAAAGAAAAAAAAGAGGAAAGAAAAGAGGAAGAGUCAAGAAUCGGGAAAAAGGUGGGAAAAGGAGGAGAUUUGGCCAAGCCAUGACCUAGACCUUGAACACCCAACAAAUUUUUCGGUGGAAUUUCCCUCUUAUCAUUGUCCAUUUUCAUCUCUAAUAGCAUUCCCUCACCCGUUAUUGUCCAUAACCAAUUGAUUCACCGCAAUCUCCACCUGAAAACACUAAAAUUGAUGGAGAGAGUUGUGUGGCUGUCAUAUUUUCCCCUCCAAUUUCUAGUGCAGCCCAUUCCACUCUCAUCACUAUAUGUACCAAUGAAACCUCUCUAGCCAUUAGUUCAAGUGAAAGAGAAGAGAGAAGGGAAAAGUGGAGGAGUACGAAGACAGGGAGAGGCAAGAGGAAAAUUUCUGCAACAACACUCCACCAAAGAUUUGGUUAAAUUCUCAACAAAAGGAACCCAUCUAAGUCAAGGGAACUGAGGAGGAAAUUCCAAAACUCAACUCAGAUUGGAUGAUUUCCUUAACCCAAUUAUUUUAGCCAUAGGACAAUGAGUGGACCAUCUCAAGUGACAAGCUACACACACAAGGCCUUUUGUACCUAAUGGAAAAAUGUGCAUGUUUAAUUUACUUUUGAUAUGAGUAAUAAUCAAGCGCAUCAUAUAGAAAAUCUUUGAAAUAUGCUAAUAGGAGUAUGCUAUUUUCGUUCUACACUUCCUUUUAUUUAUUUAUAUAUAUUUUUUUAUAUAGUGUUCUAGAUUUAAUGUUGUAUUUCUCACUGGAGACAUUUAUUUUUCUUGUCUUAAAUGAUGGACUAUAAUAUGUGAACUAUUGGACUUAAGCCUUAAAGCUUGUGAUUAUGGUGCUUGCUUAAGAUUGUAUGUAAAAGAAAUUUUGAUAGGGGGAAAUGAAACAAUCCUAGUUUAAGUGAGAUAUCAAAAUUUUAGUAGAACUUUAAAGACUUUUAGAUGUUAUACGGAUGUUAUAUGGAUAAUUCAAUCAAGUGAAGUUAUAACACUAAGUUUGUCAUAUGUACUAAGAGCUAGGUGGGCCUGAUCAUCCUUCUUAGGAGGUACAUAAGUAGCCUUUGGGUGCGGUCAAAGAUAGAUAAAUUUUUCUGCAGUUGGAAACACAAUUGAGUUUUGAGUUAUUGUUCUUUGGUAAUAUUAUAUUAUUAUUUAAAUGAUGCGACUUACUGGUAUGCUCGUUUAUUUAUUUUCAUGUCUUUUAUAUGCUUAACGUUUGAGUUGAUUGUUUGAUUUAUUAGAAUGACUAUAUCUAUGUUAUAUUUACUUAGAAAUUUUCAGAGGUUACAUAAAUUAUGUACAUAUGAGGAAAUUCUAGCUAAAAGAACCAAUACUCUAUACUAGCGUACCUUAUUACUUUGUCCUAGUAUCUUAAUAUAUAAAUUGAUUUUGUUGAUGCCAUUUUAUUUAUUUAUUUAUUUGUCAUUUGAGAAAGAAUUUUGUUUAUUGAAAGUACUUGUAGUUAGUCAAUUGUUUCGAGGAAACUCUGAUGGUUUGGUUUCAGAUUACAUAUGUUCUAAAUUUGAAGGACUGUUGUGUCACAUUACCAUCUUCAAACCCAGUUGCAAGACCCUUCUUUUAUCACUUAUCAUGGCUUCUACUUCUUCAACCCGUCCCAGCUAUGAUGUUUUUAUUAGCUAUAGAGGCAAAGAUAUUCGAGAUGGUUUUGUCUCUCAUCUCUUUAAUGCUUUCCAGCAAAAAAAAAAUCAAUGCCUUCUUGGAUGAAAACCUUUGUAAAGGAGAAGAGAUCUCACCAGCUCUCUUGGCAGCAAUUGCAGAAUCAUAUGUCUCAGUGGUGAUAAUUAUGCCGAUUCCUCAUGGUGCUUGAAUGAGCUUGUGAAGAUACUUGAAUGCAGAAAAACAUUAGGACAAAUAGUCUUACCAGUUUUUUACCAUGUAGAUCCGACCGAUGUUCAAGAGCUGACUGGGAAUUUUGGGAAGGCAUUUACUAUUGCUAAGCAUGGAGAAGAACUCAAAGGUUGUUUAGACAGGGUGGAACAAUGGCGCCAGGCAUUGAUGGAAAUAAGCAUUAUAACAGAAUGGGAUUCACGGUA